UACGUAGGGUGCAAGCGUUAAUCGGAAUUACUGGGCGUAAAGCGUGCGCAGGCGGCUAUGCAAGACAGAUGUGAAAUCCCCGGGCUUAACCUGGGAACUGCAUUGGUGACUGGCAGGCUUUGAGUGUGGCAGAGGGAGGUAGAAUUCCACGUGUAGCAGUGAAAUGCGUAGAGAUGUGGAGGAAUACCGAUGGCGAAGGCAGCCUCCUGGGCCAACACUGACGCUCAUGCACGAAAGCGUGGGGAGCAAACAGG
Molecule: ribosomal RNA, 254 nt
Filed under: uncultured bacterium
Lineage: Bacteria
Description: partial 16S ribosomal RNA
Rfam family: Bacterial small subunit ribosomal RNA
Source: RNAcentral